Molecule: ribosomal RNA, 510 nt
Filed under: uncultured bacterium
Lineage: Bacteria
Description: partial 16S ribosomal RNA
Rfam family: Bacterial small subunit ribosomal RNA
Source: RNAcentral
AGCGGCAGACGGGUGAGUAACGCGUGGGAACAUACCUUUUGGUUCGGAACAACACAGGGAAACUUGUGCUAAUACCGGAUAAGCCCUUACGGGGAAAGAUUUAUCGCCGAAAGAUUGGCCCGCGUCUGAUUAGCUAGUUGAUGAGGUAAUGGCUCACCAAGGCGACGAUCAGUAGCUGGUCUGAGAGGAUGAUCAGCCACAUUGGGACUGAGACACGGCCCAAACUCCUACGGGAGGCAGCAGUGGGGAAUAUUGGACAAUGGGCGCAAGCCUGAUCCAGCCAUGCCGCGUGAGUGAUGAAGGCCCUAGGGUUGUAAAGCUCUUUUGUGCGGGAAGAUAAUGACGGUACCGCAAGAAUAAGCCCCGGCUAACUUCGUGCCCCCCCCCCCCCCGGAAAAAAAAAAAAGGAAAAGUUUUUUCCCAAAAACCCGGGGGGAAAAGGGGGGGGAAGGGGGGUUUUUUUUUCGGGGGGAAAAACCGGGGGGAACUCAACUCCAGAACUGCCUUUGA